Molecule: long non-coding RNA, 211 nt
Filed under: Actinidia chinensis (golden kiwifruit)
Lineage: Eukaryota; Viridiplantae; Streptophyta; Magnoliopsida; Ericales; Actinidiaceae
Description: long non-coding RNA (ACHI_LNC004273)
Source: RNAcentral
UAAGAGCGAUAUAUAUACAGAGAAAAUAAAUUUAGAGAGAGAAAGUGUGUGAGAGAGAGAGAGAGAGAGAUUACAGAGAUUCGUCUUCAGCUCUUCUUCUUCUUCUUCUUCGAUCUGUGUUCGCGUUCGAGCCUUUUUCUACGUGUCGAAUUCGAAAGCUUCUGCGAUUCGCUCGCUCGUCGAUCUACCGACUCAGCCUUUCGAUUUCUCG